UCCUGGCAGUGGAACUGAUCCACGACGACCUUUUUCUGCAAUAUCCGUAGUUCAGAAUGUGUAAGCAAACAAGGGAAUUCUCAUACCACAUCAGCAAAGGAACAUGUGGCAGCAGAAACAUGGCCUCCUCAUAUGUCUAUCUUCAGAGAUGGUGUAAAGACCACAAAACUAAGUGUCCGUAUUAAACUCAAAACGUUGGGUCCUCCUUUCAUUAGAACAUCGUAACCUCAAGAAAUUUCAAUGGAAGUAUUUGUUUUAUUUUGCACACUGCACAUUUCAUAUAUUAGCUUUGCCAUGCCGAUCAAACUUGUCGCGAACCAACAACUUUCAACAAAACACACGUACUUCACAUAAAGAUUGAACUGAUAAAAAGUACAAACGAUAUAUCGCUAACCAAUUAAGUCGAUUUUUCAGUUCUCACCUCUUUAUGUACCUCAGUCAUGACCUCUUUAUCGGUACCAAAUUUCUGUCCUACAAAAAAAGUUCCCUAUGCUGCAAAAUAAACAACAUGAGAUCAACCUUUCUCACAAACAGUAAAGAACAACAAAUCAUCGGUUUGAUCAAACUUGGCCUGAAUAAAAAAGAUCAUUGAAACCACACAAGGAAGCCUUGGAAUUUUAUCGAGAAAGAAACAAAAACUGAUAGCAGAAACUUGAAUUAAUUAAGCACAUCAUGUACUGUAUAUCCCUACAUCCAUCCCAAGAAAUUGUGUAUAGAUCGAAGCAUGAAGCAGCUGUCCACAUAUCAAUUAGAGAACAAUUUGGAGGGAGUAACAGGGGGAUUUUGCCUCACCGGUGGAGUAUCUUGUCAUGUGAUUGGAGUGAUAUUGGUGACCACCGUAUGCCCGUACUGCUAGCAACGCACCCCAUGCUGUUCCCCAUGCGACAGAACUUGACACAUAAUAUGGACCUCGCCGACCAUCACACGGACAAUGAUGCACCAGGGGACAAGACAGAUUGCAAAAGAGGGGACAGAGGGUUCUGCACAUGAGAGGAGAAUGCCUUACUCGUCUCCAGUUUGACGUUUUUGCAAUCACAAAUAUCCCAUUGUAUCACAGUUCUUCAAUUGAAUAUAUGUUUCAUUCAAUUUCAGCAUGUUCUGAAU
This 1104-nucleotide long non-coding RNA is filed under the name Hordeum vulgare. RNAcentral describes it as "long non-coding RNA (HVUL_LNC017797)". Lineage: Eukaryota; Viridiplantae; Streptophyta; Magnoliopsida; Poales; Poaceae. The record is from RNAcentral.